RNAcentral lists this ribosomal RNA (477 nucleotides) under uncultured anaerobic ammonium-oxidizing bacterium. Its description in RNAcentral is "bacterial SSU rRNA". It matches the Rfam family "Bacterial small subunit ribosomal RNA", at positions 365 to 832 of the family's 1533-position model. The record is from RNAcentral.
UUCGCAAUGCCCGAAAGGGUGACGAAGCGACGCCGCGUGGGUGAGGAAGGCCUUCGGGUUGUAAAGCCCUGUCAGGAGUUAAGAAAUGCAGACUCGCUAAUACCGGGUCUAUUUGACAAAGGCUCCAAAGGAAGCCACGGCUAACUCUGUGCCAGCAGCCGCGGUAAUACAGAGGUGGCAAGCGUUGUUCGGAAUUAUUGGGCGUAAAGAGCACGUAGGUGGAUUUGUAAGUCAGAUGUGAAAGCCUUCUGUUCAACGGGAGAAUUGCAUCUGAAACUACAAACCCUGAGUUUAGGAGGGGAGAAUGGAACUUCUGGUGGAGCGGUGAAAUGCGUAGAUAUCAGAAGGAACGCCGGCGGCGAAAGCGAUUCUCUGGCCUAUUACUGACACUCAGUGUGCGAAAGCUAGGGGAGCAAACGGGAUUAGAUACCCCGGUAGUCCUAGCCGUAAACGAUGGGCACUAAGUAGAGGGGUUUU